This 72-nucleotide transfer RNA is filed under the name Phrynosoma platyrhinos (Desert horned lizard). Its description in RNAcentral is "tRNA-OTHER". The record is from RNAcentral. Lineage: Eukaryota; Metazoa; Chordata; Lepidosauria; Squamata; Phrynosomatidae.
GCCAGUGUGGUGCAAUGGUUUGAAUGUUGGACUAUGACUCUGUAGACCAGGGUUCAAAUCCUCGUUCAGCCA